RNAcentral lists this ribosomal RNA (501 nucleotides) under uncultured bacterium. RNAcentral describes it as "partial 16S ribosomal RNA". It matches the Rfam family "Bacterial small subunit ribosomal RNA", at positions 30 to 523 of the family's 1533-position model. The record is from RNAcentral.
AUUGAACGCUGGCGGCAGGCUUAACACAUGCAAGUCGAGCGGGGGAAGGUAGCUUGCUACCGGACCUAGCGGCGGACGGGUGAGUAAUGCUUAGGAAUCUGCCUAUUAGUGGGGGACAACAUCUCGAAAGGGAUGCUAAUACCGCAUACGUCCUACGGGAGAAAGCAGGGGAUCUUCGGACCUUGCGCUAAUAGAUGAGCCUAAGUCGGAUUAGCUAGUUGGUGGGGUAAAGGCCUACCAAGGCGACGAUCUGUAGCGGGUCUGAGAGGAUGAGCCGCCACACUGGGACGGAGACACGGCCGAGACUCCUACGGGAGGCAGCAGUUGGGAAUAUUGGACAAUGGGGGGAACCCUGAUCCAGCCAUGCCGCGUGUGUGAAGAAGGCCUUAUGGUUGUAAAGCACUUUAAGCGAGGAGGAGGCUACUUUAGUUAAUACCUAGAGAUAGUGGACGUUACUCGCAGAAUAAGCACCAGCUAACUCUGUGCCAGCCGCCGCAGUAA